RNAcentral lists this long non-coding RNA (298 nucleotides) under Mytilus galloprovincialis (Mediterranean mussel). The record is from RNAcentral. Lineage: Eukaryota; Metazoa; Mollusca; Bivalvia; Mytilida; Mytilidae.
CAGUGAAUAGGGAGAUAACUCUUACAAAGAAAAUGGUUCGGCUUAGCCUUGACCUAAUUUUCAUUUUUUUGGACCAAGGACCUCAAAUCAAAAGAUCCUAGGUCUCUAUAACUUAUGGUUUACAAGAUAGAAAUGCAUAUCACUUAUAUCAAAUGCAUAAGGGGAAAUAACUCUCAUAUGGAGCUUUCAUAUCGCUUCGGUCAAAAUAGAACAAAUCAUGUGAAGGAUAUAACGAGCAAUUUUGUAAAAUAAAUUUGUCGUAAUCUUUUACGGUUGCGAAGGAGUCGUGGACACAAGG